This 76-nucleotide non-coding RNA is filed under the name uncultured Mamiellales. The record is from RNAcentral. Lineage: Eukaryota; Viridiplantae; Chlorophyta; Mamiellophyceae; Mamiellales.
UUGGCCAAGCGAGCUAGAACCGGACAAAGCAUCAGAGCCACGGAAAUCACCUGUUCGGCCAACCAUAGAGCUCUCG